Molecule: ribosomal RNA, 497 nt
Filed under: uncultured bacterium
Lineage: Bacteria
Description: partial 16S ribosomal RNA
Rfam family: Bacterial small subunit ribosomal RNA
Source: RNAcentral
GAUGAACGCUGGCGGCGUGCCUAAUACAUGCAAGUCGAGCGAACGGACGAGAAGCUUGCUUUUCUGAUGUUAGCGGCGGACGGGUGAGUAACACGUGGGUAACCUACCUCUCAGCCUGGGAUAACUUCGGGACACCGGAGCUAAUACCGGAUAAUAUUUUGAACCGCAUGGUUCAUAAGUGAAUGACGGUCUUGCUGUCACUUAUAGAUGGAUCCGCGCUGCAUUAGCUAGUUGGUAAGGUAACGGCUUACCAAGGCAACGAUGCAUAGCCGACCUGAGAGGGUGAUCGGCCACCCUGGAACUGAGACACGGUCCAGACUCCUACGGGAGGCAGCAGUAGGGAAUCUUCCGCAAUGGGCGAAAGCCUGACGGAGCAACGCCGCGUGAGUGAUGAAGGUCUUCGGAUCGUAAAACUCUGUUAUUAGGGAAGAACAUAUGUGUAAGUAACUGUGCACAUCUUGACGGUACCUAAUCAGAAAGCCACGGCUAACUACGUG